GGAGAGAUUGAAGCAUCUGCUCGAUUUGCAGCCUUAACUGAACAAGUUAACAAUCUCCAAGAGCAGUUGAAUUCUUUGUCUGCUCUAAAAAUUGAAUCUGAUGCCCUGCUUGAGAAGAAAACUGCAGAAAUAGUGGAAUAUGCCAAUCAGGUAGAAAAUCUCAAGGAGGAAUUAGCAAGCAAAUUAGUGGAUGGGCAAAGAUUGCUGGGAGAGAAAGAUGGUUUGCUUGUGCAGAUAAAUGACCUGGAACUGGUGGUGGAGUCUCUGCGUAACCACAAAAGUGAAUUGGAAGGGCAUAUAAAUAGUAAAGUUGAUGAGAGCAACCGGUUAAGUGAGGAAAACAAGCAUUUGCAGAGCAAGAUUUCUGAAUUGGAGAGAGUAUUGACAGAAAGGAUGGAUGAGCUCUCUGCCAUCCAAAAGAUAUUGGAUGAUGCAAAUGUUGAAGCUUCCACCCAAAUCGAUGCACUGAAUGAGCAGGUUAAAAUUUGAGACAGGAGAGGGACUCCUUACAGUCUGGAAAAGCCAACUGGAAUUACAAAUGGAGAGGAGAAUAGAAGAUUUUUCAGCAAAUUUGGCUCAAGCAGAGGAUCAGAAUUCUGAAUUACAGAAGAGGUUGGAAGAUGGAGAGAUUGAAGCAUCUGCUCGAUUAGCAGCCUUAACUGAACAAGUUAACAAUCUCCAAGAGCAGUUGAAUUCUUUGUCUGCUCUAAAAAUUGAAUCUGAUGCCCUGCUUGAGAAGAAAACUGCAGAAAUAGUGGAAUAUGCCAAUCAGGUAGAAAAUCUCAAGGAGGAAUUAGCAAGCAAAUUAGUGGAUGGGCAAAGAUUGCUGGGAGAGAAGAUGGUUUGCUUGUGCAGAUAAAUGACCUGGAACUGGUGGUGGAGUCUCUGCGUAACCACAAAAGUGAAUUGGAAGGGCAUAUAAAUAGUAAAGUUGAUGAGAGCAACCGGUUAAGUGAGGAAAACAAGCAUUUGCAGAGCAAGAUUUCUGAAUUGGAGAAGUAUUGACAGAAAGGAUGGAUGAGCUCUUUGCCAUCCAAAAGAUAUUGGAUGAUGCAAAUAUUGAAGCUUCCACCCAAAUCGAUGCAUUGAAUGAGCAGGUUAAAAAUUUGAGACAGGAGAGGGACUCCUUACAGUCUGAGAAAAGCCAACUGGAAUUACAAAUGGAGAGGAGAAUAGAAGAUUUUUCAGCAAAUUUGGCUCAAGCAGAGGAUCAGAAUUCUGAAUUAGCAAACCAGGUUGCAAACCAAGAGAGGAAG
RNAcentral lists this long non-coding RNA (1256 nucleotides) under Coffea arabica (coffee). Its description in RNAcentral is "long non-coding RNA (CARA_LNC006130)". The record is from RNAcentral. Lineage: Eukaryota; Viridiplantae; Streptophyta; Magnoliopsida; Gentianales; Rubiaceae.